AUAAUGGGUCAGCGACUUAUAUUCUGUAGCAAGGUUAACCGAAUAGGGGAGCCGAAGGGAAACCGAGUCUUAACUGGGCGUUAAGUUGCAGGGUAUAGACCCGAAACCCGGUGAUCUAGCCAUGGGCAGGUUGAAGGUUGGGUAACACUAACUGGAGGACCGAACCGACUAAUGUUGAAAAAUUAGCGGAUGACUUGUGGCUGGGGGUGAAAGGCCAAUCAAACCGGGAGAUAGCUGGUUCUCCCCGAAAGCUAUUUAGGUAGCGCCUCGUGAAUUCAUCUCCGGGGGUAGAGCACUGUUUCGGCAAGGGGGUCAUCCCGACUUACCAACCCGAUGCAAACUGCGAAUACCGGAGAAUGUUAUCACGGGAGACACACGGCGGGUGCUAACGUCCGUCGUGAAGAGGGAAACAACCCAGACCGCCAGCUAAGGUCCCAAAGUCAUGGUUAAGUGGGAAACGAUGUGGGAAGGCCCAGACAGCCAGGAUGUUGGCUUAGAAGCAGCCAUCAUUUAAAGAAAGCGUAAUAGCUCACUGGUCGAGUCGGCCUGCGCGGAAGAUGUAACGGGGCUAAACCAUGCACCGAAGCUGCGGCAGCGACGCUUAUGCGUUGUUGGGUAGGGGAGCGUUCUGUAAGCCUGCGAAGGUGUGCUGUGAGGCAUGCUGGAGGUAUCAGAAGUGCGAAUGCUGACAUAAGUAACGAUAAAGCGGGUGAAAAGCCCGCUCGCCGGAAGACCAAGGGUUCCUGUCCAACGUUAAUCGGGGCAGGGUGAGUCGACCCCUAAGGCGAGGCCGAAAGGCGUAGUCGAUGGGAAACAGGUUAAUAUUCCUGUACUUGGUGUUACUGCGAAGGGGGGACGGAGAAGGCUAUGUUGGCCGGGCGACGGUUGUCCCGGUUUAAGCGUGUAGGCUGGUUUUCCAGGCAAAUCCGGAAAAUCAAGGCUGAGGCGUGAUGACGAGGCACUACGGUGCUGAAGCAACAAAUGCCCUGCUUCCAGGAAAAGCCUCUAAGCAUCAGGUAACAUCAAAUCGUACCCCAAACCGACACAGGUGGUCAGGUAGAGAAUACCAAGGCGCUUGAGAGAACUCGGGUGAAGGAACUAGGCAAAAUGGUGCCGUAACUUCGGGAGAAGGCACGCUGAUAUGUAGGUGAAGUCCCUCGCGGAUGGAGCUGAAAUCAGUCGAAGAUACCAGCUGGCUGCAACUGUUUAUUAAAAACACAGCACUGUGCAAACACGAAAGUGGACGUAUACGGUGUGACGCCUGCCCGGUGCCGGAAGGUUAAUUGAUGGGGUCAGCGCAAGCGAAGCUCUUGAUCGAAGCCCCGGUAAACGGCGGCCGUAACUAUAACGGUCCUAAGGUAGCGAAAUUCCUUGUCGGGUAAGUUCCGACCUGCACGAAUGGCGUAAUGAUGGCCAGGCUGUCUCCACCCGAGACUCAGUGAAAUUGAACUCGCUGUGAAGAUGCAGUGUACCCGCGGCAAGACGGAAAGACCCCGUGAACCUUUACUAUAGCUUGACACUGAACAUUGAGCCUUGAUGUGUAGGAUAGGUGGGAGGCUUUGAAGUGUGGACGCCAGUCUGCAUGGAGCCGACCUUGAAAUACCACCCUUUAAUGUUUGAUGUUCUAACGUUGACCCGUGAUCCGGGUUGCGGACAGUGUCUGGUGGGUAGUUUGACUGGGGCGGUCUCCUCCUAAAGAGUAACGGAGGAGCACGAAGGUUGGCUAAUCCUGGUCGGACAUCAGGAGGUUAGUGCAAUGGCAUAAGCCAGCUUGACUGCGAGCGUGACGGCGCGAGCAGGUGCGAAAGCAGGUCAUAGUGAUCCGGUGGUUCUGAAUGGAAGGGCCAUCGCUCAACGGAUAAAAGGUACUCCGGGGAUAACAGGCUGAUACCGCCCAAGAGUUCAUAUCGACGGCGGUGUUUGGCACCUCGAUGUCGGCUCAUCACAUCCUGGGGCUGAAGUAGGUCCCAAGGGUAUGGCUGUUCGCCAUUUAAAGUGGUACGCGAGCUGGGUUUAGAACGUCGUGAGACAGUUCGGUCCCUAUCUGCCGUGGGCGCUGGAGAACUGAGGGGGGCUGCUCCUAGUACGAGAGGACCGGAGUGGACGCAUCACUGGUGUUCGGGUUGUCAUGCCAAUGGCACUGCCCGGUAGCUAAAUGCGGAAGAGAUAAGUGCUGAAAGCAUCUAAGCACGAAACUUGCCCCGAGAUGAGUUCUCCCUGACUCCUUGAGAGUCCUGAAGGAACGUUGAAGACGACGACGUUGAUAGGCCGGGUGUGUAAGCGCAGCGAUGCGUUGAGCUAACCGGUACUAAUGAACCGUGAG
This 2323-nucleotide ribosomal RNA is filed under the name Escherichia coli. Its description in RNAcentral is "partial 23S ribosomal RNA". It matches the Rfam family "Bacterial large subunit ribosomal RNA", at positions 612 to 2915 of the family's 2925-position model. The record is from RNAcentral. Lineage: Bacteria; Pseudomonadati; Pseudomonadota; Gammaproteobacteria; Enterobacterales; Enterobacteriaceae.